UGCUUUAGUAAUCAUUUCAACUUUGUCUUGCAGCAAUUUUGACUUUAGCCAAUACUUAUAUGUAUGUGUCUAUGAAAAAAACUGAGAUUUGAUUUAGCUGCUUACGUGUGGGCUAACUGGGCAUUUUUCGUACAUAGUGAGUUCACUUUUAUCUUAACCCUCCACUUUGUUUCUCUUAUCUCUUUUCUGUGAUGUUUAUCAUCUCUGCUUUAGGUUAUUCAUUUUUUGGCUCUUAAUUUCACCUAUCCCUUUCUUUCUCCUACUUCCUCAGUGAUGAGUUAUUCUAUGGAUUACUCUCCAUCAGUUGGAUCUGUGCUCAUUAAUAGCCGGUUAGUUCUGUUUCUAUGUGAGUUUGCUGAUUGAUAUGCUCCUUUGAAAUUCUUAGCUUACAGCUUGCCAAGAAAAAGAGUGUGUAAUCAAAGAAAUAUCUGCACUAUUAGAUACCUUGACCAAAUGUGUGGCUGAAGGAAUUCACGAAACAAUACUCGGCUAAUAGAUGAUUUAGCUAGUUCAAGGGUUAUAUACCUGAAGAUGGCCUUGACUCACUUAACUUUGAAGAAAUUUUGGGUAUUAUCUUUGCUUUGGUGAUAGUGUCAGACAACCUGAGAAGGUUAUGAGCUUCAUGCUCUAUUAUUCGAACGAGCGGGACUGUCUGCGACAGUAGUAGCAGCAUAACCGUCUUUGGCAUCAACGAAGAGUUGCUUAUAGGCCCCUUGAAUUACCAAACGAUCUUGAAACUGUCAAAACGUGUUGUAUUAGAUAAUUUAAUUUAUACUCUUUGUAAAGAACCUGAGGAAGUUUCUUUGAUCUGUUCUAAAAGAGUGUGAUGCCUUUUUAGUUAUGUGAUAUUAAAACUUGGAGGAUAUGUCUUUGAAGAUAAGACAACAUGUAAGGAUUGCAACGGACAAAAACUUAAGAUCAUACUAAGUAAUUUUCUAUACAUCUUUCAAAGAAAUGUUGUAAUACUAAAUAGUAUGAUGUUUGUCAUUAGCUCGUGUCGUGCCCGUGCGAAGCACGGGCAUCACCAUCUAGUAAUUACCAUAUAGGGGCAUACUAGACCAUUUUUUUCAUAUAUAAAUGAAGCCCUAUAGAAAAGAGGCUUCUUGCACCUCUCAUGCUUUAUUAAGCCUUCUCAAUAAUAACACAAAAGGUGAACUCGUAAUUUUAACUUUGUGUGGGCAGAGUAUCACUGUUUGACGUUUGUUACAAAGUAACUUUGUGAAUGAUAGGUGUUAGUGGAAAUAAGGGCGUCAAAUGAGCAGGUAGGGUUGAACUUGAGCGGGUCAAAAUGAAUCGAGCUAAAUAAUUCGUCCAAAAGUGUUUUUUGGUAACUAACUUUCAUUUCAUUACCAAAAUGGAACAUUACAAAACAACGAAACAUAGAGUAUUUGUUGGAUCUACAAUCCCCACAAAGCCUCCAGCCAGGUAUCAAACAAACAAAAACCUAACAUCAAGAGCACAGGUGCCAAUUUAAGCUAACAGAAACCAAGAAAAAGCAUAAGGCAUCUAAGGAUAGAAAUUAUGAUUCUCCAGCCAUCCUCCAAGCU
Molecule: long non-coding RNA, 1547 nt
Organism: Lycium barbarum (goji berry)
Lineage: Eukaryota; Viridiplantae; Streptophyta; Magnoliopsida; Solanales; Solanaceae
Exons: 4
Source: RefSeq, a predicted model, not a curated record